This is a non-coding RNA of Ciona intestinalis (vase tunicate), 310 nucleotides long. The record is from RefSeq and is a predicted model, not a curated record. NCBI's taxonomy places the organism in Eukaryota, Metazoa, Chordata, Ascidiacea, Phlebobranchia, Cionidae.
GGUUGAAAGAAGAUCAAAGAAUCGGUAAGGUUAACCGCAAUAGGCAUUGUUACGUAACACAGGAUCUUUUUUAGAAACCUCGAUGAUGUGACGUCACGAAGUACCAACGCAACAGAAGAACCCACUUCAACUUUUUAUGUGACGCCACAGAGGAUCAAGAUAGCCAUCAUCAAGAUGACGAAGUCGGAAUAACGAAAGUCGGCGAAUGCUGCUUCAGAAAAAAAGCCCAAGCUGAAGCACAAAGACGAAGACGCCGGUAACGGAUGAUGGUUUGAGGUUUGAGUAUUAAUAAGUGUUGUGUGUGUAUGUG